Molecule: non-coding RNA, 151 nt
Filed under: Fusobacterium ulcerans
Lineage: Bacteria; Fusobacteriati; Fusobacteriota; Fusobacteriia; Fusobacteriales; Fusobacteriaceae
Source: RNAcentral
UCUAUGGUUCAUUUGAUUAAAAGGGAAGCAGGUUGAAAUCCUGCACGGUCCCGCCACUGUAAGAUGGAUGAAAGCAAAGCACCACUGGCUCACGGCUGGGAAGGUUUGCAAGUAAAAUGAAGUCAAGUCAGGAGACCUGCCAAAGAUUGAU